CUCGUCACCGCUGCUAUGCCCGCCUCCGCCUCCCCGGCAGUGCAUGUCGCUAGCGUGCGCACUCAUGUGCCCGUCACGCUCGACCUCCAUGCCUCGAACUUCACCAAGUGGCGGAUGCUCGUCCGCGUGCUCCUCGGCAAGUACGACUUGCUCCCUCACGUCAACGUCGUCAUCGCCGCGGCGGACCGCACGCCGGACUGGACUCGCGAUGACUACGUCGUUCGGUCCUGGCUCUACGGGUCCAUCUCCGACGAAAUCCUGGACAUAAUCAUGGCGGAGGAUCAAACUGCCCAGGAAGCAUGGAUGCUCAUCACCAACCUGUUUCUAGACAAUCAGAUGACUCGGGCUGUUUACCUUGAGGCGGAGUUCCGAGGUCUCGUCCAAGGUGACCUCUCCAUCACAGCCUACUGUCAUCGCCUCAAGGCCCUUUCGGAUGCUCUCAGCGACGUCGGCACCCCCGUCUCCGACCAAACUCUUGUCCUCAACUGCCUCCGUGGACUCAAUCCGCGCUUCUCCGACAUCACGACGAUCGUCAUCAUGCAGAAUCCUCUUCCGUCGUUCAACCAGACGAGGUCCUUGCUGACCCUCCGCGAGGCCCAGCUCGCGAACUCCGCCACGCUCGGGACCCAGACGGCUCUCUAUGGUGGUGCGCCUCCCCACGGCGCCAGCGGCUCCACCCCCUCU
Molecule: ribosomal RNA, 684 nt
Filed under: Triticum aestivum (bread wheat)
Lineage: Eukaryota; Viridiplantae; Streptophyta; Magnoliopsida; Poales; Poaceae
Description: partial small subunit ribosomal RNA
Source: RNAcentral